AAAUGCGAUAAGUAGUGUGAAUUGCAGAAUUCAGUGAAUCAUCGAAUCUUUGAACGCACAUUGCGCCCCUUGGUAUUCCAUGGGGCAUGCCUGUUCGAGCGUCAUUUGUACCUUCAAGCUCUGCUUGGUGUUGGGUGUUUGUCUCGCCUCUGCGCGCAGACUCGCCUCAAAACAAUUGGCAGCCGGCGUAUUGAUUUCGGAGCGCAGUACAUCUCGCGCUUUGCACUCAGAACGACGACGUCCAAAAGUACAUUUUUACACUCUUGACCUCGGAUCAGGUAGGGAUACCCGCUGAACUUAAGC
Molecule: unclassified non-coding RNA, 303 nt
Filed under: plant metagenome
Description: partial contains 5.8S ribosomal RNA, internal transcribed spacer 2, and large subunit ribosomal RNA
Rfam family: 5.8S ribosomal RNA (bases 1-104)
Source: RNAcentral